GAAUCAUCGAAUCUUUGAACGCACAUUGCGCCCUUUGGUAUUCCAAAGGGCAUGCCUGUUCGAGCGUCAUUUGUACCCUCAAGCUUUGCUUGGUGUUGGGCGUUUUUGUCUUGGGGCCUGCCCCCAAAAGACUCGCCUUAAAAAGAUUGGCAGCCGGCCUACUGGUUUCGCAGCGCAGCACAUUUUUGCGCUUGCAACCAGCCCUAAAGAGGACGGCACUCCAUCAAGUCUCUUUAUUCACUUUUGACCUCGGAUCAGGUAGGGAUACCCGCUGAACUUAAGCAUAUCAAUAAGCGGAGGAAAAGAAACCAACAGGGAUUGCCUUAGUAACGGCGAGUGAAGCGGCAACAGCUCAAAUUUGAAAUCUGGCUCUUUUAGGGUCCGAGUUGUAAUUUGCAGAGGGCGCUUUGGCUUUGGCAGCGGUCCAAGUUCCUUGGAACAGGACGUCACAGAGGGUGAGAAUCCCGUACGUGGUCGCUAGCUAUUGCCGUGUAAAGCCCCUUCGACGAGUCGAGUUGUUUGGGAAUGCAGCUCUAAAUGGGAGGUAAAUUUCUUCUAAAGCUAAAUAUU
RNAcentral lists this ribosomal RNA (570 nucleotides) under Pleosporales sp. PSU-ES90. RNAcentral's name for it is "eukaryotic LSU rRNA". The stretch from base 245 to 570 matches the Rfam family "Eukaryotic large subunit ribosomal RNA", at positions 1 to 324 of the family's 3401-position model. The record is from RNAcentral. Lineage: Eukaryota; Fungi; Ascomycota; Dothideomycetes; Pleosporales.